UAGGGAAUCUUCCGCAAUGGACGCAAGUCUGACGGAGCAACGCCGCGUGAGUGAAGAAGGAUUUCGGUUCGUAAAACUCUGUUGUUAGAGAAGAACAGCGCAUAGAGUAACUGUUAUGCGUGUGACGGUAUCUAACCAGAAAGCCACGGCUAACUACGUGCCAGCAGCCGCGGUAAUACGUAGGUGGCAAGCGUUGUCCGGAUUUAUUGGGCGUAAAGCGAGCGCAGGCGGUCAAUUAAGUCUGAUGUGAAAGCCCCCGGCUCAACCGGGGAGGGUCAUUGGAAACUGGUUGACUUGAGUGCAGAAGAGGAGAGUGGAAUUCCAUGUGUAGCGGUGAAAUGCGUAGAUAUAUAGAGGAACACCAGUGGCGAAGGCGACUCUCUGGUCUGUAACUGACGCGGAGGUUCGAAAGCGUGGGUAGCAAACAGG
This 429-nucleotide ribosomal RNA is filed under the name Bacteroidota bacterium. Its description in RNAcentral is "Bacteroidetes bacterium partial 16S ribosomal RNA". It matches the Rfam family "Bacterial small subunit ribosomal RNA", at positions 355 to 776 of the family's 1533-position model. Lineage: Bacteria; Pseudomonadati; Bacteroidota. The record is from RNAcentral.